Molecule: ribosomal RNA, 848 nt
Filed under: Pseudophialophora sp.
Lineage: Eukaryota; Fungi; Ascomycota; Sordariomycetes; Magnaporthales; Magnaporthaceae
Description: partial large subunit ribosomal RNA
Rfam family: Eukaryotic large subunit ribosomal RNA
Source: RNAcentral
AAAGAAACCAACAGGGAUUGCCCCAGUAACGGCGAGUGAAGCGGCAACAGCUCAAAUUUGAAAUCUGGCCCUAGGCCCGAGUUGUAAUUUGUAGAGGAUGCUUUUGGUGACGCGCCUACCGAGUCCCCUGGAAUGGGGCGCCACAGAGGGUGAGAGCCCCGUAUGGUUUGCCGCCGAGCCUCUGUAAAGCUCCUUCGACGAGUCGAGUAGUUUGGGAAUGCUGCUCUAAAUGGGAGGUAAAUUUCUUCUAAAGCUAAAUACCGGCCAGAGACCGAUAGCGCACAAGUAGAGUGAUCGAAAGAUGAAAAGCACUUUGAAAAGAGGGUUAAAUAGCACGUGAAAUUGUUGAAAGGGAAGCGCUUGUGACCAGACUCGCGCCGGGCGGAUCAUCCAGCGUUCUCGCUGGUGCACUCCGCCCGGCUCGGGCCAGCAUCGGUUUUCGCCGGGGGACAAAAGCCUCGGGAACGUGGCCCCCUUCGGGGGGUGUUAUAGCCCGUGGCAGAAUACCCCGGCGGGGACCGAGGACCGCGCUUCGGCAAGGAUGCUGGCGUAAUGGUCACCAGCGACCCGUCUUGAAACACGGACCGAGGAGUCAAGCAUUAGUGCGAGUGUUUGGGUGUAAAACCCGCACGCGUAAUGAAAGUGAACGUAGGUGAGAGCUUCGGCGCAUCAUCGACCGAUCCUGAAGUUUACGGAUGGAUUUGAGUAGGAGCAUUAACGCUUGGACCCGAAAGAUGGUGAACUAUACUUGAAUAGGGUGAAGCCAGAGGAAACUCUGGUGGAGGCUCGCAGCGGUUCUGACGUGCAAAUCGAUCGUCAAAUUUGAGUAUAGGGGCGAAAGACUAAUC